This 836-nucleotide long non-coding RNA is filed under the name Marmota monax (woodchuck). The record is from RNAcentral. Lineage: Eukaryota; Metazoa; Chordata; Mammalia; Rodentia; Sciuridae.
CAGAGCUGCCUCCUCAGUCAGCGCCCCACCCCUCAGAGCACCCUUGUUCUACUUGUCUCCUGUGAGCCCCAAGGGCGAGGGCCCAGGACGGGUCAGCACUGAACCCCGCGGCACUGUGGUUGGACAGGGAGAUCAACUGGCUGGCCACAGGAUGAAUCCAGCCACUGAAUCCCUCCUCACAACCCACUGAAGUGGCAGUAAACAGAUUUUUUUUUAAGGCACAAGGACAACAGAAGAGCCCACAUUUUAGAAUCUGAAGCCAACGUUCAAAUGGCAAUUCCCUUGGCAAGUUCAAGAGCAGGUUUCCGCCAGGUGCAGCGGUGCACACCCGUGAUCCCAGCUACUCCUCGGGAGGCUGAGGCGGGAGGAUCUUAAGUCUGGGCAGAGAGAGAGGGUUCCUAAGUGGUGUUAAAAUCACAGGUCACUGUUGGAGACCAAGCUCCUGCAGACCAGGCUACUCAUAAACAUUGCUGACAUUCCCAGUCACCAAGCUGAAACCACGCUGUCCCUCUCAUCCUCCAGUCAGAACUAGAGAGAACAGCCAGAUUUCUCAAAUAGCUCUGUCUCCUCUGGCAAGGUAACAAAGUUCUGUUUGAAUGGCUGCACACAAGGUGACCUGAAGUAACCUAGGCUGAGCAAUCACUGCCACCUUUUAAGGGAAGCCACCUGGAAAUGACCCAUCUGCCCUGCAGUCCAUCUCUGCCUCCUUUAAGCCGGCCCACGGAGCCAGCCUCCUUGGCUUAGGCCAUUGGAGCACUUGCUCAUUUUAGGAAAUGAACUGUAAUUCAGUUCUAGAACUGAAAAUAAAACCAAUCAAGCCCGGUGUAGUGGUGCAC